GGUGGCUCUCUCUUAGAUGACAUUAGUUCCCUUAUAAAUGUGGUCUCAUAUAUCUCUCUAGACCCUUCUAUUCGGUGAGGAUAAGCAGGCUAGCUUCUCACCCGAGUCCUACCCUCUGGCAACCUGAUCUUGAACCCAGCUCCAGAAUUGUGAUGAAUUAAUUUCUGUUGUUCGAGGAACAUUAAAUUUCAGAUGAGGAACAGUCAAACUCAAAUCUUCACAUCACUGAAACUUUCAAAACAAGUUGCAGAUCUCCCAGCAGACUGAGGUUCCAACCUUGGCCUCACAGUGCUUUACAUUGGGCACCCUCAGGAAUGCCCCAGCUCUUAUAAAAUAUAUGAUGGCUUACACCAUAUAGACCUGACUCUGGAAACCCAGCACUGAGAAUGCAGCUGAAAUUGAAUCCAACUCUAACUGGACUGACCUAGUCUCUGGACCAGUGACUACAUCACUGAGGUUGAGCAGAACCAGGUUACUCUCUAGCCAUGGCAAUUGGAUCAAGGAUAUGAGUACAAACC
This is a long non-coding RNA of Talpa occidentalis (Iberian mole), 518 nucleotides long. RefSeq lists it as uncharacterized. The record is from RefSeq and is a predicted model, not a curated record. NCBI's taxonomy places the organism in Eukaryota, Metazoa, Chordata, Mammalia, Eulipotyphla, Talpidae. The transcript is spliced from 5 exons.